Molecule: unclassified non-coding RNA, 283 nt
Filed under: plant metagenome
Description: partial contains small subunit ribosomal RNA, internal transcribed spacer 1, and 5.8S ribosomal RNA
Rfam family: 5.8S ribosomal RNA (bases 235-283)
Source: RNAcentral
UUUCCGUAGGUGAACCUGCGGAAGGAUCAUUAUUGUAUAACCGAGGUGCGAGGGCUGUCGCUGACCCGAAAGGUCGUGCACGCCCGAGUGCCCUCACACACAUCCAUCUCACCCCUAUGUGCACCUCCGCGUGGGUCCCCCUUUGGCUUGUUCGGAGGGGGGCUUACGUUUUCACACAAACUUUGUAUGCAGUGUAGAAUGUAUUUUUUGUUUUUGCGAUCACGCAAUCAAUACAACUUUCAACAACGGAUCUCUUGGCUCUCGCAUCGAUGAAGAAUGCAGC